AUAUGCCAUCUCUCUGUCUAUGAUUUUCUCUCUCCAUGGUGUCUCAUACUUCAGGCCGGAUAACCUGAACUUCUUUGCAGCAUGGCAGUUGGGUUAGGUUGGAACUGGAAUAGUGUCAGUUCUGCAUCAUUGUGUUGGUCUGCCGAGAAUCAAGAGUUUUUUUGGUGAAAGUAAUGGCAAGAGUGUAUAAGGGUGGAAGGAAAUUUUGGCAACCACUUUUUCGAGACUAAUUACUACAGGUAAUUUCAAUAAGAAAGAGAUUCUUGAGUGGAUUUUGAAGACUGAGAAGUUUAUUAGUGAAUAGAGGAGAUGAAGUUUAGGAGAAGAGGAGCUCUUUGAAAGAACAGCAGUAACAUGAAGACAGAAAGCAUCAUAUUUGGCCUGCCUGCCAGGACAAACAGAAUGCCUGGAGGCAUUAGGGAGAAGGAAUUAGAAAUGAGCGUGAGAGGCAGGCAAGAUUAUUAAAAGUCUUGUAUGUUUUAAGAAGUAAACUGUACUUUAUCAUCUAGGCUGCAGAAUACCCUGAGAGAUUUUAUUCAGGGGAGUAACUGCUCUUCACUCUCAUUGAUUCUUCUGUAAUUUGUCAGUUCCAUAUGUUCUUGAUCAAUACGCCUUCUUUGGCUUCAUUUCCUUAUUCACUCCAGCUGACAACCCACAGUCAUUCAGUUAAACCUCUCUCUCACUGACACUCUUAAUUCCCAACACUCUCAUGACCUUCUUCUCAUUGCAUUAUUCCUAAUCCUCAGUUCUAGAAUAACCCAACCAUCUGUUUGUUCUGAUACUGAAACCAGGAACUGAAUAAUCCUGGAGCAAAUUACAUAACCAUGUUGAUUGUCUGCCUUAUACAUUUAUGAUUUCUGACCUCUGCUAGACUCUCAAUUUUUUCUAGGAAAUCUUUACAGAUGUUUACCUAUUUCCCAUGACAUUUUCUUUUUAAUUUUUUUUGCCACUUUUUCAACUUUGUACUUAAUGCUUCACUCUAUUUUUAGCAGAUCACUUUCCCUACUUCACAGAGGAAAUAGUUGUUACAGUCAUGAAAAAUUUUCCUUUAUAACUUCUUCCUAAAGUUCAUCUAUUCUUUUCAUUCUGGAUGAUCCUCUUUCUUUCUUUCCAAAUUCCUGUGAUAAGUUUAGGACUUAUUAUACUUCUCCCACAACUUUAAAUUGAUUUACAUUUCUUAUCCAUCCUUAUUUUCUUUCCUCCUUCACCAUAGUCAUUCUUCCUUGUUUUCACUUUCCCUUUGACCUCAAACCUUCUACCGCUUGCAAGUUCUUGCUCUAAUAAUGAUGCCCUUUUCCCCAAUCUCUUUCUACAACUUCCUCCUCAGCCUUGCUUCUACCACAAUCAAUAUUUUCUCAUUGUACUCCCUGCUUAUUGUUUGUUUUAUAUUUAUUCCUUAGUAACCUGAAACUUGGCUUGUUACAACUGAAUACCAGGCAAAGUUUUGACACAUAGUAUGGUGUAAUAAAUAUGUAUUAAUGAUCAAUUUCUAAUUUCCAAUAUUAUAACCUAUUUUAAGUUCUCAUGUUACAAUGGGAAGAUGGGGAAAAGGUCCCGUCUGUCUUUGGAUCAGUGGGAGCUUGCUAAACCAUGCUUGCAAGUGGACAUAAUGGCUGAGAUUCUGUACUCUGCAGUUUUUUUCCCAAAUCAGUCUAUUCCGUUUGCAUUUUGGUUUGUUGGAAUGUGUGCUAUAGAAGUUGGUAAAUAUACUGAAUAUUACCAUUAUCUCUCUCUCUCUUUCCAUGCAUAUAUGUAUGUGUGUGUACACUCUGGAAAUUGUAUCACUAUAUAAAAAUAUUAUUUCUGCUUGAAGUGUGGUGCCCAUUUAACACAUGAUAAUCACAGAUUUUUAUAGCAAAACACCUUUUCAUAUGCUAGACAGAUUUGUAAAGGCAGAAAUUAUGGUUUCCUGGCAUAUAGAUAGUAACAAAUAAGUUUUUGUGGAAAGAAUGGUUGAAUGUUCUUUAUGUGUAACAAAGGAAAAAAUUUCUAAAUGAGCAUAGAAUGUAUUUAUGAAAUUUUAAAUAAAAUGUAAUAUCUAUUGUUAGGGCUUAGAAUGUUCAGACAUUGUAACUGACUAUUGUACUACUGUUAUUGAAAGAAAAAAACACUAAUCAAUAUAGCAAUUCACAGGGAUUUUUUCUCUUGUAAAUUUCAUUUGUUAAGAGCAUUGUUUUAGAUGCAAUCUUUUCAUAGAAACAUGUAUAAACUCGUGAGGAGAUUGAACAUAAAGCACUGCUAUAAAACUAGGUACUUAUUGGCCUUCAAUGUAUCCAGCUUUUAUCUUACAGACUGUGAGCUCAUUUAAUAGCAUCAAGUGAAGGAAACUGGUAUAGCAUCCCCUCUGCUGCAUACCUUUGGGACUUUCCUGUAUAAUGUUGAUGUUCAGUCUCAGCCAAACUGACAAUUAAAUGAUCCAUUUAUCCAACACAAGCAGGCAGAGGAGGAGAUACUGCAUCUUUUCACACUGCCUCCCACUCCCAGAGCCAGUCCAAUGCUUCCUUUGGGUUGAGCACACACAAACAGAAAGCCCUUCAUCAACAAUUUUUCAUGUUUUCUGUUAAAUUGGGUUUACUCUUCUUACUUGAAUUUUCCCCUAGAUACUUUUCCCAAAUAGCACAGAAAGUAUUUGAUGUGAACUAAAACUUUUUAAUAAUAAACUUUGUGGUUAUAAAACCUGAGGAAGACAAGACUACUGAGGCAGUUAGAAGAAAUUGCUGAAACCAAGAAAAAAAAAGAUAUAUGUUAGCCUAAAUCUUAAAAUGAAACUUUUCAAAGAAGCAAUAUUGUCUAAUUGGGACCUUUUAUAUAUUCUUUGGGAGUCUACUUCAUAGAGUAAUUAUUUUAGCCACCAACACAUUUUUUACCAUUGUGUACAGUUUUUAUUAUUCUUAACUCCCCUACUUUCUGACACUUCCGUUUUCAAAAAUAACACAUAAAGCAAUUGUCUUUUGCAUUAGAUAUCUCACUUUUAAUUUAAAUAGCCCAUGUAAACCCUAUUAAAGUUGCUUACUUAGGUACUUUUAAUUGAUACUGAGAAUAAUGCUUUCUUUUUGGGUUUUGUUGUCAAGGUGAAAUUCUAGUAUUAUCAGGCAAAUUUGAGAGCAAUCGUAAUUGAAUUAAAAAUUCUAAUUCUAUUUUAUUAUUAUAUAUUAUAGAUUAAUUAUUUGAGGAAAACCAAAGUGCAGAUUGUCCUAAGAUAUUCUAUCAACUUUUUAAGAUACCUAACUCUAUCAUUCUUCUGUUUUAAAACCUUUAUUUCUUAGAAUUGUAUUAUUAAAAUGAACAUAUGUUGUUGACAGGCUGUUAACAUAUAUAUCAAAGACAAUAAGUCAAAUUUUAACUAAAAAAAAAAAAUGGGACCAGAGUAGAAAGGUUUUGAGAGAAAACAGUGGCAGAAAGACUCAGAAAAGCAUGCAAUAUUCAAUGAAAAACUCUUCUUUGCUCUAGGUGGUAUGAGGACUCGGCCUUUUGUCAGUUAACAGUCUUUCAGUACAAUAUUCAGAAAAUCCAGCUGAAAAUAUCUAAAACCAAAAGAGAAUUUAUUGGCUCUCAUAAAUGAUACUCAUAGCCUGAUGCCAGUUAUCAAGUUAUUGCCUCUUCGCUCCAAAUUCACCCUUCAAUAUAUAUUCUAUGAUAACAGACAAUUCCUUUUAGUAUUUCUCCUUUAAAGUGAGGCCUAUGUUAAUCUUUCUCAGCAGAGGAUGCUGGAGGGACAUUUCAGGAAAAAGGUAUCGGGCUGCCUGCCAUCCCUUAAGCCAGUAGUGUCAGUAUAAGGACAUCUGGUGGAGCUUUGCCUCAGUCAUGUGCCAAGAACAUAGGCCUUUGACAACCUUGCAGAGUAGAUCCUGCAAUAACCUUCUUGCUUUGCUCUUGACAUGGAAUUUGCAUACACAUAUCCUAUUGGCUCCGUUUCUUUAGAUAACUCUAAUACAGCGAUCACAGGUGUCACUAUUGACCUCUGAAAAUAAAGGAGGAAGAGGAUAAAGAGAGUGUGGAGGUGGGAGUGGACAAAUGCAUGAUCCUUGGAGGAAAGGUAGAGAAGAAACAACUUCUUAUUUCACAAUGUUGUCUUGGACAGGUAGUGUAUUUACUAAUUCUGGCCUUUCAGUCUGUUUCUCUCUCACUUUUGGGGUGUAGUAAGAUACAAGAUAUUAUAUAACUUUCCACCAUUCAUCUACUGAUUUGUUGGCCAGAACCAAGAGGACACUGGAGGACUUACCAACCCUUACUUUUGGACUGGGAUGAAACUUGAUCCAAGGGCCCCCCGGAGGUGUAUAGUGAUUAUAGAUGUUUUAUAAAAAAUUGGCUCAGUGGCUUAUUUGCUUGUUCAUUUAUUCACACACUCAUCCAGUUAGCCACUUAGCACCAUGUACUGCUAAUAUAUGAAGUAAGGAAAGGAAUUUCAAGAUAUGUAAUAUACAGUUCCCGGCCCUCCAAUAAUUUGUACACCUGUUAGGUAAUAAAACAAAUAAACUUAUUUUAAAUUCAGGGGUAAUUAAAAUCAAGUUGAUGAGAGAAGUUCAAAUGAUCAUUGCAACUCAGAGGAUGAAUAAUGAACACUUGCUGAAAUGAAGGAAGGCUACAUAAGAGAGAUUUUUCGAUAUUGGAACAAAGAGACCUACAGCAGAUUGUAUAUUUCAAAAGAGCAGCAGCAAGAUCUCCUUUCCUACAUGCUCUUUUUCUAGUGUGACAUUGACACUCCUCUCAUUGAGAAGGACACAUUUUCCCUACUUUUGGACAUUGAGAGGCUUAUGAAUAUGGAGGAAGAGAUGCUAUGUGACUUCUGAGGCGAUGUCAUAAAGCUCUGCCUGGUUCACUUGGGAGGCUCACUUCUAGAACCCAAUUGCCAUGCUGUGUGGAAGUCAGACCACAUGGAAAGGCCAUGAAUAGGUAUUCUGGCUGACAGUUUCAUUUGAGUUCCAAGACCACUGCCAGCAUCCACUGCUAGACAUGUGUGUGAGGAAGAUUUGGGGAUUACUCUGGCUUCAGCCACGGCAGUCAUGUGGAUACAACUGCAUGAGAGACCUAGAACAAGAACCCCAGAAAUAAGAGAGAUAAUAAUAAAAUGAUUUAAGCCACUA
Molecule: long non-coding RNA, 5084 nt
Organism: Sapajus apella (tufted capuchin)
Lineage: Eukaryota; Metazoa; Chordata; Mammalia; Primates; Cebidae
Exons: 2
Source: RefSeq, a predicted model, not a curated record